AUUGAACGCUGGCGGCAGGCUUAACACAUGCAAGUCGAGCGGGGGAAGGUAGCUUGCUACCGGACCUAGCGGCGGACGGGUGAGUAAUGCUUAGGAAUCUGCCUAUUAGUGGGGGACAACAUCUCGAAAGGGAUGCUAAUACCGCAUACGUCCUACGGGAGAAAGCAGGGGAUCUUCGGACCUUGCGCUAAUAGAUGAGCCUAAGUCGGAUUAGCUAGUUGGUGGGGUAAAGGCCUACCAAGGCGACGAUCUGUAGCGGGUCUGAGAGGAUGAUCCGCCACACUGGGACUGAGACACGGCCCAGAAUCCUACGGGAGGCAGCAGUGGGGAAUAUUGGACAAUGGGGGGAACCCUGAUCCAGCCAUGCCGCGUGUGUGAAGAAGGCCUUAUGGUUGUAAAGCACUUUAAGCGAGGAGGAGGCUACUCUAGUUAAUACCUAGGGAUAGUGGACGUUACUCGCAGAAUAAGCACCGGCUAACUCUGCGCCAGCCGCCGCCGUAA
This 501-nucleotide ribosomal RNA is filed under the name uncultured bacterium. RNAcentral describes it as "partial 16S ribosomal RNA". It matches the Rfam family "Bacterial small subunit ribosomal RNA", at positions 30 to 523 of the family's 1533-position model. The record is from RNAcentral.